RNAcentral lists this ribosomal RNA (217 nucleotides) under Pneumocystis carinii. Its description in RNAcentral is "partial large subunit ribosomal RNA". Lineage: Eukaryota; Fungi; Ascomycota; Pneumocystomycetes; Pneumocystales; Pneumocystaceae. The record is from RNAcentral.
AUUUAUUAUUUUAUUAGUGGGUAUAGCACUGAAUAUCUCGUAAUUUGAAUUACAAGAAGGGAGUAUGAAAGUACUUACUUUGGAUAUUUAAUCUCAGAAUAACUAAUAAGAAGAUAAGAUAAAUUCUCAGACUUUUUGCGAUAAGGUGAAAAGUCGAAAGGGAAACAGCCCAGAAUAAUGAAUAAAGUUCCUCAAUUGUUACUGAGUGAAAGAAAAG